AGCACAUUCCGAAGGCUUAUACACACAUUCCAGGAGAAGGGCCAAGGAAAUGCCUUUUAACUUAUCUGUGACUAUUGGCUAUCCUUAUUUUACAAGCCCCCUGAUGACCGUAAGCAAAAGCUAGGACCAGGAGCAUGAAGGAGAUCAGGAUAUCAGAAUGGACAACAAAAGAAGAGCGAAUCAGGAGACUGAGCAGGAACAAGG
Grammomys surdaster is the source of this 204-nucleotide long non-coding RNA. RefSeq lists it as uncharacterized. The transcript has 3 exons. NCBI's taxonomy places the organism in Eukaryota, Metazoa, Chordata, Mammalia, Rodentia, Muridae. The record is from RefSeq and is a predicted model, not a curated record.